Molecule: ribosomal RNA, 460 nt
Filed under: uncultured bacterium
Lineage: Bacteria
Description: partial 16S ribosomal RNA
Rfam family: Bacterial small subunit ribosomal RNA
Source: RNAcentral
CCUACGGGUGGCAGCAGUGAGGAAUAUUGGUCAAUGGACGGAAGUCUGAACCAGCCAUGCCGCGUGCAGGAAGACGGCCCUAUGAGUUGUAAACUGCUUUUGUACAAGGGUAAACCUGAAUACGUGUACUCCGCUGCAUGUACUGUACGAAUAAGGAUCGGCUAACUCCGUUCCAGCAGCCGCGGUAAUACGGAGGAUCCAAGCGUUAUCCGGAUUUGUUGGGCUUAAAGGGUGCGUAGGCGGAUGGAUAAGUCAGAGGUGAAAUGUCCGAGCUUAACUCGGGAACUGCCGCUAAUACUGUUGAUCUAGAGAGUAGAUGCGGUAGGCGGAAUGUAUGGUGUAGCGGUGAAAUGCUUAGAGAUCAUACAGAACACCGAUUGCGAAGGCAGCUUACCAAGCUAUAUCUGACGUUGAGGCACGAAAGCGUGGGGAGCAAACAGGAUUAGAUACCCUUGUAGUC